GAAAGUUUAGCUUGGUUUCUUCUCAGAUACUUGAGAGAGAGUAAGAAGCAUAGAGAAAGGAAGAGAAGAAAAACCUGCAUCACUGAUUCACUACUGAUGAAGCUUCCCUUCUGCAGGCACUGAUUUUGUGGUAGGGAAAAUGGCCAUGUCUUUCUAAGGACAUGGAAUGACAGUGUCAGACUGAGAAGGUCAUUCCAUAGUACUAAGCAUACAUGAGGCCCUCA
Long non-coding RNA from Erinaceus europaeus (western European hedgehog), 224 nucleotides. RefSeq lists it as uncharacterized. The transcript is spliced from 3 exons. The record is from RefSeq and is a predicted model, not a curated record. Lineage: Eukaryota; Metazoa; Chordata; Mammalia; Eulipotyphla; Erinaceidae.